UGGGCAUUUGGUAUUAAGUUAAAUAAGCCAGGCACGGAAAGGCAAAUACUACAUGACCUCACUUAUAUAAAGAAUCUAAAAACAUUGAACUCAUAGAAAUAAAGAGUAGAAUAGUGGUUACAAGGGGCUGGG
Long non-coding RNA from Sapajus apella (tufted capuchin), 132 nucleotides. RefSeq lists it as uncharacterized. The transcript is spliced from 3 exons. NCBI's taxonomy places the organism in Eukaryota, Metazoa, Chordata, Mammalia, Primates, Cebidae. The record is from RefSeq and is a predicted model, not a curated record.